This 477-nucleotide ribosomal RNA is filed under the name uncultured anaerobic ammonium-oxidizing bacterium. RNAcentral's name for it is "bacterial SSU rRNA". It matches the Rfam family "Bacterial small subunit ribosomal RNA", at positions 365 to 832 of the family's 1533-position model. The record is from RNAcentral.
UUCGCAAUGCCCGAAAGGGUGACGAAGCGACGCCGCGUGUGGGAAGAAGGCCUUCGGGUUGUAAACCACUGUCGGGAGUUAAGAAAUGUAAGGAUGUUAAUAGCGUUCUUACUUGACUAAGGCUCCGGAGGAAGCCACGGCUAACUCUGUGCCAGCAGCCGCGGUAAUACAGAGGCGGCAAGCGUUGUUCGGAAUUAUUGGGCGUAAAGAGCACGUAGGCGGCUAUGUAAGUCAGGUGUGAAAGCCCCCGGCUCACCCGGGGAACUGCAUUUGAUACUGCUUGGCUUGAGUGAAGAAGGGGAGAGUGGAACUGCUGGUGGAGCGGUAAAAUGCGUAGAUAUCAGCAGGAACGCCGGUGGAGAAGUCGACUCUCUGGUCUUUAACUGACGCUGAGUGUGCGAAAGCUAGGGGAGCAAACGGAAUUAGAUACCCCGGUAGUCCUAGCCGUAAACGAUGGGCACUAAGUAGAGGGGUUUU